GAUGAAGAACGCAGCGAAAUGCGAUACUUGGUGUGAAUUGCAGAAUCCCGUGAACCAUCGAGUCUUUGAACGCAAGUUGCGCCCGAAGCCAUCAGGUUGAGGGCACGUCUGCCUGGGCGUCACAUAUCGUUGCCCAAUGCCUAUUGCAGUGCAAUAGGAAUUUCUAGGGCGAAUGAUGGCUUCCCGUGAGCGUUGUUGCCUCGCGGUUGGUUGAAAAUCGAGUCCUUGGUAGGGUGUGCCAUGGUAGAUGGUGGUCGAGUUAGAACGAUACCGAUCAUGUGCAUGCUCCCCAAAAUAUGGCCUCUAUGACCCACACGCGUCUUUUGACGCUCAUGACGAGACCUCAGGUCAGGCGGGGCUACCCGCUGAAUUUAAGCAUAUCAUAAGCGGAGGA
RNAcentral lists this unclassified non-coding RNA (394 nucleotides) under soil metagenome. Its description in RNAcentral is "partial contains 5.8S ribosomal RNA, internal transcribed spacer 2, and large subunit ribosomal RNA". The stretch from base 1 to 122 matches the Rfam family "5.8S ribosomal RNA", at positions 35 to 154 of the family's 154-position model. The record is from RNAcentral.